Molecule: ribosomal RNA, 588 nt
Filed under: Pectobacterium carotovorum
Lineage: Bacteria; Pseudomonadati; Pseudomonadota; Gammaproteobacteria; Enterobacterales; Pectobacteriaceae
Description: bacterial SSU rRNA
Rfam family: Bacterial small subunit ribosomal RNA
Source: RNAcentral
CGGACGGGUGAGUAAUGUCUGGGAAACUGCCUGAUGGAGGGGGAUAACUACUGGAAACGGUAGCUAAUACCGCAUAACGUCGCAAGACCAAAGAGGGGGACCUUCGGGCCUCUUGCCAUCGGAUGUGCCCAGAUGGGAUUAGCUAGUAGGUGGGGUAACGGCUCACCUAGGCGACGAUCCCUAGCUGGUCUGAGAGGAUGACCAGCCACACUGGAACUGAGACACGGUCCAGACUCCUACGGGAGGCAGCAGUGGGGAAUAUUGCACAAUGGGCGCAAGCCUGAUGCAGCCAUGCCGCGUGUAUGAAGAAGGCCUUCGGGUUGUAAAGUACUUUCAGCGGGGAGGAAGGGAGUAAAGUUAAUACCUUUGCUCAUUGACGUUACCCGCAGAAGAAGCACCGGCUAACUCCGUGCCAGCAGCCGCGGUAAUACGGAGGGUGCAAGCGUUAAUCGGAAUUACUGGGCGUAAAGCGCACGCAGGCGGUUUGUUAAGUCAGAUGUGAAAUCCCCGGGCUCAACCUGGGAACUGCAUCUGAUACUGGCAAGCUUGAGUCUCGUAGAGGGGGGUAGAAUUCCAGGUGUAGCGGUG